Non-coding RNA from Pteropus alecto (black flying fox), 119 nucleotides. The record is from Rfam. NCBI's taxonomy places the organism in Eukaryota, Metazoa, Chordata, Mammalia, Chiroptera, Pteropodidae.
GUCUACGGCCAUGCCACCCUGCACAAGCCCGAUCCCGUCUGAUCUCAGAAGCUAAGCAGGGUCAGGCCUGGUUAGUACUUGGAUGGGAGACCAUCUAGAAAGACCAGGUGCUGUAGGCA